GGGGCCGAAACAGGAUCGACGGACGGGUAAAGGGGAUGGCUUUCGCCGGGGUGAGGCCCCUUACAGGCUCAUUUUCAGAGUUGCCAACGACAACUUUGCUGAAGAGGUCGCUCUCGCUGCGUAGUCAGCGCGGGUAAUCUCGCACUAAACUCCUAUUCCCUUUAGCCGGAAUAGGCGGGGCCCGGAGGCGCCUGGCAACAGAAGCCUCCACU
This 212-nucleotide transfer-messenger RNA is filed under the name Maricaulis maris MCS10. Its description in RNAcentral is "transfer-messenger RNA Maric_maris_MCS10". It matches the Rfam family "Alphaproteobacteria transfer-messenger RNA", at positions 148 to 355 of the family's 355-position model. Rfam says of the family: Bacterial tmRNA, also known as 10Sa RNA or SsrA, is named for its dual tRNA and mRNA-like properties. Its role is to liberate the mRNA from a stalled ribosome. To accomplish this part of the tmRNA is used as a reading frame that ends in a translation stop signal. The record is from RNAcentral. Lineage: Bacteria; Pseudomonadati; Pseudomonadota; Alphaproteobacteria; Maricaulales; Maricaulaceae.